GGAUUAGAUACCCUGGUAGUCCACGCCGUAAACGAUGGACGCUCGGCGUUUGCGGGCUAUCAACGUCCGUGAGCGCCUCAGCUAACGCGGUAAGCGUCCCGCCUGGGAACUACGGCCGCAAGGCUAAAACUCAAAGGAAUUGACGGGGGCCCGCACAAGCAGCGGAGCGUGUGGUUUAAUUCGACAACGCGCAGAACCUUACCCAGACUUGACAUGUAUCUGCAUAAUCCCGAAACGGAUUAGCCUUCGAGGGUGAUACACAGGUGCUGCAUGGCUGUCGUCAGCUCGUGCCG
This 293-nucleotide ribosomal RNA is filed under the name uncultured bacterium. RNAcentral describes it as "partial 16S ribosomal RNA". It matches the Rfam family "Bacterial small subunit ribosomal RNA", at positions 775 to 1067 of the family's 1533-position model. The record is from RNAcentral.